This is a long non-coding RNA of Nyctereutes procyonoides (raccoon dog), 395 nucleotides long. RefSeq lists it as uncharacterized. The transcript has 3 exons. The record is from RefSeq and is a predicted model, not a curated record. NCBI's taxonomy places the organism in Eukaryota, Metazoa, Chordata, Mammalia, Carnivora, Canidae.
UCUGCUGCAGACAAUGCUGUAGGAGAGAGGCUGGCGCCUGCAGGGCCUAAAUCUAAACAGAGGCCGAAGGCACUGGCAGUGGGGAACCAGCUGGCCCCCAUCCUGUCCCUCAGGAGCCACCCCGUCCUCAGCCCAGGCCUCCAGCUGGGAAACAACUCUGUCUCCUCCACUGGUGGCUCUGUGCUAGACCCGAUGCUCGCCUGGAACUCAGAUGUGAUGCCUGGAAGUAGCAUAGCCAUGAAGACAAACGCUUCAAGCGGAGGAUGGCAGAGGAGGAAGACAGCAGGAGCCUUGCUUCUAAACAACUCCCUCGAAUAGCUCUAACCAACAUGGACUACCUCUCUCCAGAUUCCUUAUUAUGUGAGAAAAAUAUCCCUUAUUUGAAGGAGCCAAAU